AAGCUCUGGUUCUCCUUCAAAAUUGGUACUAAUCUUUCGCCUUUUACUAAAGAUUACCGUGGAGGAGAAUAACUGAAUGAGUUUAGGAACGAAUUUUUCGCUGUCCUGCCUUUCGGCGGGG
RNAcentral lists this small nuclear RNA (121 nucleotides) under Pocillopora damicornis (cauliflower coral). RNAcentral's name for it is "U5 spliceosomal RNA". It matches the Rfam family "U5 spliceosomal RNA". Rfam says of the family: U5 RNA is a component of both types of known spliceosome. The precise function of this molecule is unknown, though it is known that the 5' loop is required for splice site selection and p220 binding, and that both the 3' stem-loop and the Sm site are important for Sm protein binding and cap methylation. The record is from RNAcentral. Lineage: Eukaryota; Metazoa; Cnidaria; Anthozoa; Scleractinia; Pocilloporidae.